AUGUCGCGGCACGGCGUCUUGCCCGACCAAGAGGACAGGAUCGAUCUCUCGCCCGCCACACUUCUCCCCAAGGUGAGAGCUUACGAGAUGGCAGGAGGUGAGCACGCCAAAGGAUUAGCUGAGCUCAAGAUUGUGGAAGGGGCAAUCGGGAAUCUGAGCAGGGAGGCAUUGCCAGGGCCGGUGUAUGGGUUCCAGGAGGUAGGUCUGGCGGAAGCACUUCUGCACAACUUGGCGAGGUGUCAGUUCGAGACCCCGACUCCGUUGCAGUGCUACUCGAUCCCGAUGGUGCUGGCCGGCCGGGACCUGUUGGUUUGCGCGCACAAGGGGUCCGGGAAGACGACCGCCUUACUCAUCCCGGUGUUGAGUGGGCUGGUGACGGCGCCGGUAGCAGCAGCAAGAACAAAACCACGCGCGCUCUUGCUCGUGCCUACCGCCAGGCUUGCAAAACAGAUUGGUGCUGAUAUCAGGAAAUUCUCUUACCGAACUGGAAUAAGAGUUCAUUCAAAGAUGAAAGGGAAGAUGCAGAAAUGUCAGCUUGAAGCGAGCAUUGAUAUAGUUGUUUCUACACCCCUACGUCUUAUCAACAUGGUUAGAACCUCUCAAGUCUCCCUUGAGGCAGUAAAGUAUCUGGUCAUAUGCGAGCUUGGUUUGAUGCUGGAUAUGGGGUUUGAAAAAAUGUUAAGGAAGAUAGUUGAUGACAUGCAUAUUCCACCGAAAUCUGCCAGACAUACUUUACUUUCCAGUGGUACUUUCCAACCAGCAGUACAGAAACUGGCUUGGGAUUUCUUGUCAGAUUACUUAUUUAUCACCGAUGGGAGGUUGGAGUUCAGUAUUGGCCUAACUAAGCAGAAAAUUGAGCUUGCCUCUGAAGCAGAGAAAAGAGGCCUCCUGCUAAAUCUGUUACAGAAGCAAUCCGUCUCUUCUGCCGGCAUGAGCCAACUCAUAACAGUAGUUUUUGUCGAGACAAAAGGAAAGGCUGAUUCAUUGAAGAAUUGGCUAUGCAAUGAAGGUUUUCCUGCAACAGUGAUCUUUGCUGACAGUUCACAGCAGGCAUAUGCAGCCUCACCAGGCUUGGACGUUGCAAAUGUUGAUCAUUUGAUUAACUAUGAUCUUCCAAAGUCUGUUGAGGAAUAUGUUGAGAGGAUUAGAACAUUUGGGAGAGUUGGUUCUGCCACUUCCUUCUUCACUGAGUCCAACCGGUCCAUAGCAAAAGGCUUGCUGGAAUUGAUGAUUGAGGCAAAUGUAGAAGUGCCAGAUUGGCUGUUGGACUAUGCUAAUCCUGAUUAUACUUGUAGAUCUGUGGAAUUGGACUCAAAAGAUGAGGAGAAUGAUAAGUACAGAUAUGAUUUAGCUCGGUCUCUCGCCUCACGCAAGAUUGAUAACAUAUACGAUCUGGCAGGUGUUUGGGCUGAAUUAAAUUGCAGGAGAAAUAAGCAAAGCUUUGAUGAUAGUAGGAUCACGACAAUGUCUAAAGAUUGUUGUAUUGCAUUUACACAACAAGAAGAAUACAAGUUCCUCAAGUUCUAUUUCGUCAAGGUUACUCAGCAUUGUUAUAGCCCUGAAAGUUAUGGAAAAACCUAUUGGCAUUACAAUUUCAUUGCCAAGAUUAAGAGUAAAUCAGGAAUCUGGACUGAAGGUAUCUACUUUGCUGAAAGAAAAUUAGAAUGUGGUGUGGAGACAUUUUGUUGCUGUUUCCUGGAGCCGUCAGACAAUGGUGAGUGCUAUGGAUGUCAACAUGGGAAGGUGAAGGUUCGGCAUCCAACUAGAGGUGACUAUGAGAGAGGAACACCUGAUCAUGUUUGGCUUUCCGAUGGUGACUGUGAAAUUAGUGAUGAUGAUAUGGUGGACUUCUAA
This 1854-nucleotide ribosomal RNA is filed under the name Triticum aestivum (bread wheat). RNAcentral describes it as "partial small subunit ribosomal RNA". Lineage: Eukaryota; Viridiplantae; Streptophyta; Magnoliopsida; Poales; Poaceae. The record is from RNAcentral.